RNAcentral lists this ribosomal RNA (550 nucleotides) under uncultured bacterium. Its description in RNAcentral is "bacterial SSU rRNA". It matches the Rfam family "Bacterial small subunit ribosomal RNA", at positions 355 to 896 of the family's 1533-position model. The record is from RNAcentral.
UAGGGAAUCUUCGGCAAUGGACGGAAGUCUGACCGAGCAACGCCGCGUGAGUGAAGAAGGUUUUCGGAUCGUAAAGCUCUGUUGUAAGAGAAGAACGAGUGUGAGAGUGGAAAGUUCACACUGUGACGGUAUCUUACCAGAAAGGGACGGCUAACUACGUGCCAGCAGCCGCGGUAAUACGUAGGUCCCGAGCGUUGUCCGGAUUUAUUGGGCGUAAAGCGAGCGCAGGCGGUUAGAUAAGUUUGAAGUUAAAGGCUGUGGCUUAACCAUAGUAGGCUUUGGAAACUGUUUAACUUGAGUGCAAGAGGGGAGAGUGGAAUUCCAUGUGUAGCGGUGAAAUGCGUAGAUAUAUGGAGGAACACCGGUGGCGAAAGCGGCUCUCUGGCUUGUAACUGACGCUGAGGCUCGAAAGCGUGGGGAGCAAACAGGAUUAGAUACCCUGGUAGUCCACGCUGUAAACGAUGAGUGCUAGGUGUUAGACCCUUUCCGGGGUUUAGUGCCGUAGCUAACGCAUUAAGCACUCCGCCUGGGGAGUACGGCCGCAAGGUUA